UGGGGAAUAUUGCACAAUGGGCGAAAGCCUGAUGCAGCGACGCCGCGUGAGGGAUGACGGCCUUCGGGUUGUAAACCUCUUUCAGUAGGGACGAAGCGCAAGUGACGGUACCUGCAGAAGAAGCACCGGCUAACUACGUGCCAGCAGCCGCGGUAAUACGUAGGGUGCGAGCGUUGUCCGGAAUUACUGGGCGUAAAGAGCUCGUAGGCGGUUUGUCACGUUGUCUGUGAAAUCCUAGGGCUUAACCCUGGACGUGCAGGCGAUACGGGCUGACUUGAGUACUACAGGGGAGACUGGAAUUUCUGGUGUAGCGGUGGAAUGCACAGAUAUCAGGAAGAACACCGAUGGCGAAGGCAGGUCUCUGGGUAGUAACUGACGCUGAGGAGCGAAAGCAUGGGUAGCGAACAGG
Molecule: ribosomal RNA, 409 nt
Filed under: bacterium
Lineage: Bacteria
Description: partial 16S ribosomal RNA
Rfam family: Bacterial small subunit ribosomal RNA
Source: RNAcentral